Lolium perenne is the source of this 1639-nucleotide RNA transcript. RefSeq lists it as uncharacterized. NCBI's taxonomy places the organism in Eukaryota, Viridiplantae, Streptophyta, Magnoliopsida, Poales, Poaceae. The record is from RefSeq and is a predicted model, not a curated record.
CACACAAAACCGGGAAAGCUUCAUCUCGAAAAAAAAAACGAGCAGCUCCCUCCUUCCACACGCCCAAAUGUUGGCCACCGCCGCCUGCCGCGGGCCAGCGCCGGCGCUCCCCGCCGCGAGACCCGGCGGCGGCUGCCUCCUUGGCCGGGUCCGCAUCUCCAGGCGGAGGGCGCCGACGAGCAGGAGAAGCGCGGUGGUGCGGUGCGGGCUGCUCCCCGUGGACCCGUGGGCGCCCACCAUGGACUCGCAGAGCAUCGCGUCGCAGCUCUUCGCCGUCUCGCUGUUCCCCUACCUCGGCUUCCUCUACUUCAUGACCAGGUCCAAGACGGCGCCCGGCCUCACGCUCUUCGGCUUCUACUUCCUCCUCGCCUUCGUCGGCGCCACCAUACCUGCUGGGAUAUAUGCCAAAGUUCACUAUGGGACCUCUCUUUCUAAUGUGGACUUGCUACAUGGGUCAGCAGAAUCGUUACUUACACUCACCAAUCUGUUCAUCGUGCUGGGGCUGAGGGGGGCUCUAAGAAAGCUGAAGGAUGGAGAGGAGAGCAAUUCCGAAGCUUCCCAGGACAACAAGGAAAAGAGUUCUGUCUAGAUGCUCUCGUUAGCUUCCCAGACCGUGCUUGUAAAUCAUUGAGGAUUGCUUUCGGGUCUGAAUCUCUGGCUGGAAAAACUUGGUCGGAUUCAAGAACUCGUCGAGCUGAGCCUCGAAGUCCAUGUCAGUCCCAAGGCCGGCAGCCGCAGCGUAGCCAUAGCUACCGGCAUGCUGGUACCAGGAGCUUGUUGGCGGGCAGCAGCCGUCCAUGGCCGCGGGUGGCUCUGCCGCCCACCAAUGCAUCCCUUCCUGCGUCCCAGCCGGCGAGCCCUGCUCCUGGCCGGAGGCAGGUGGCUGCUGCUCCGGGCUGAUCAGACGCGACGGCACGUCGGCCUUGGAGCAGGUGUGGUCGCCGUGGUACACGACGUCGAAGAGCAGAGGAUCGCCGGCGGCGCGCUGCACCUGCUUGGUGGCCUGGCAGCCCCGGGUGUGCCGGUGCGUGCACCGGAAGUACGCCCUCGGGUACGGGGCGCCGAGGAUGUCCUUCUGGCCGUACUUCCGCCAGCUGAGCCCGUCGUCGAGCGGCGCCGUGUCCUGCACCGACGCCACCCGCACCUGCCUUCUGGUCCUCGCCGCCGUGGCCGCCUUCCUGCUGCUGUUCCUCGGCUGGCCACUGUUCUUACCGGCGCCGGCAUUGCCACCGCCGUAGCCGGCUAGGCAGACGGCCCUGUCGACGGACGCGGCCAGCGCGCCGCAGAGCUCCCUCGCGGCGGCCGGCGCGUCGUUGUUGUCGACCUGCGCACCCAGCUCCCUCGCCAUCGCCUGUAGCCGGUCCAGCUCCGAUGCUAGCACCAUGUCCUCCAUGCCCGGUACUCGGCUGGACUUGAUCGAUCGAUCAGUGUUGUCUCAUGAGAGUGUAUGCGCGUUCGUGGGUUUGUUCUUGUGAUGAUUGGUGUGGCUUUGACGGGGAGUCGUCGGGUCGUGAGGUUUUAUAGUGCUGGACUGAGUACGGUACGAGCUACUGUUCUUGGCUGGGAAUUGAUCAGUCUCGAGGUUUGACUGAAGACCGUUGAAAAGUUUGUGACUAACAUAACACAAGAGAAUAAUACA